Molecule: long non-coding RNA, 2424 nt
Organism: Melospiza melodia melodia
Lineage: Eukaryota; Metazoa; Chordata; Aves; Passeriformes; Passerellidae
Exons: 3
Source: RefSeq, a predicted model, not a curated record
GCAGAUUAUUUGUUUCCAAGACAGCAUAAAUCACCAAGUGUCACUGAGAAAGUGAGGAGGAAAACAGAGGGGAGCACCAGGGAGAGCACUGCAAGAGAUCUUCCAAAGCAUGCAAAGCUUUCUAUGAAUUGUGAAAUUAAGAUGACAGUGUUACAGAAAUAAAUCCAGUGCCAGUGUUUUAGCCUGACAAGAAAUAAACCUUUGACUGCUCAGGACAUGGCUCUGAAGCAUCCAGUGCAGGGAGAAAACAUGGAACAUUUGAAGGCCCACUGACUGCAUAUGAGAAGAUAGCAGAGAAAAGCAGCAACCAUCAUGUGCCUUAAGAAAAUGCUAGCAUUAAACACAGCCACGUUUUCCUCUAGAAGAUGCAGAAGUCCCAAGAAAGACAGUAUGCAACUUGCAUGCAGCUGUGACAGAUUGCUGUAUAAGUGAUCUGCGCAAGACUAAGAACUUUCCUUCACAAGUUUAACAACAUUUUAAGAAGCACCUUUAUACCUGGAAAGGAAAAAGAAGAAGGUGGGCUGAAGCUGCCUUAUAAGGUUUUCAGGGAGCUCUUACCCAUAGAAAUAAUGAAUGUAUUUUCAAAUCUGUGUGCAGAUGUUUCACAAGGAGCUACAGCUUUCUGUAGUGGAGUACAGCAGUGCCUCACUCAGGUGCCCAGUAUUAACCUGCUGCCAUGAAGGAGGUCUGGGUUAGAGUGCUAUAUUCUCUUUGAAAAGGAAGAAAAGGCACUGCUAUCAUCUUCCCAGCUUUGGAAGGGCAAAUUCCAAAUUUUUAAUCAAAACCAUAAAAAACAACUUUCACCAUCACCAUAUUUUGAUUAGGAGCAUAACUGCAAAAACAAGUUUAAGCAACCAAGAGAAAAUGUUUACAAAAUGCUGUGUCAGUUCUUACCUAUUUAAAAAUUAACUCUAUCCAGGCUGAAUCCAGGACCUAAAGAAAAGUAGGAUUGGAAAUGAAGCCCUUUUUAUUUCUAAUCAUGUUCUUCAAAAGUCCUGCCUGCUUCCAGGCCAUGCUUGAGAGAAUCAUGUGUUACCUAAAUCUGAGUUAAUGGAACAAGCAGCAGUCAGACCAGCCCAGCUUAGAUUGAAUGGCAGUGCUGAGGAAGCUGAAGGUGCCUACAAAUUUGUUAUCCCUAAUAUCAAAGAUCAAAAGAGUAAAGUUCUGCUCUGCAGCACAGCACGUAAAUUACUUUAUAAGGGAAUUCUCACACAUCCUGAUGGGUCUAUGAGAACUGGCAGACACUAAUAGGCAGUAAAAUAAUUUCUCUAGAAGUUCACUUCUGCAGUUUGUUUGCAUACCUCUCUGGGAUAGAAGUGAAAUUUGCUAGUGUUUCCCCCUGAAUCCUCCUCCCAUGCCUUGAAAACAAUGAAAUUCUAUUUGAAUUAGGACAACAGGAGAGGCAAUUUAAAGGGGCCCUAAAGAUUCAGUCUCUUAAUCACAACUGUGACAAAAUGCUGUUAUCCUUGCCAGCAAUUCCCUGGCAAUUUACAGUACUCUAGUGUAAAAGGAGACCUUGCAUUGCAAAGAAACCUGACUAGAUAACCAGGUCUUCAUCCAUCGAUUCCCCUUUCCUGCCCCCAUUGCACACAUCCUGGGGAUCACCAGGCACUCUGCCAUCCUGAGGCCAUUCAGGAGCUACAUUCUGACCCUGACAUUGAAUCUAAAGUUAUUUAGAAAGUGAAGUCAGUGCAGAGGUUGGCUUCUGAAUAACCCAUCUAAUGAGGAGGGCAUUUCAGUAGGACUGUGUGAAUGCACACCAGCAGCCCCAUUAGGCUGCAAUAGCACCUCAAGAGUUUUUAACAUAGGGGCAACCUAAAACCACUCUGCCUGAACUGUGGUUUCUGCUGCUCCCCAGAAGGAAUUCUCUUCCUGCAUUUAGGUCAGAAAUUAAAUUGUUGGGCAGGUUUCCCCUGCAAGGUCCUGCAACCCUAGGUUGCCACAGGUCUAGCAGUUGUUUUAGGGUAUAAGAAAAGAAAUACAUAAUUAAGAAUUUUGGAAAGAUAUGAGGGCUUUGAAGAUAAUAUCCCAAAGCAAAGAAGACCUCAAGAAGGAGUUAGAAUUUUUUCUUUUAUGUCACUGAUGGGCUGAUUUCCUGCUGAACAAUUGCUCAAAUGUAAAAAGAAAAAAAUUGUUGGGCUGAUAAUGGUAAGUUAAAUAGAGUCAAAUAAAGGCAUAUUUUUAUUAUUUGCAUAUAACUGAAGCUAAGUUAAAAUAUAAGGAAAAGCAGGUUGUGUAAAGACCAGGAAAAUACCCCAAGGAUCAAUAUGAGCUUCAAAAGAUUGUGAUGUUUUCAACAACUUGUUAAUUGCUGGUAUAUGAAUAAGUGCCAAACCCAAAUCACUGUUUCAAAUUAUGUUCCAAAGCAAAACACAUUGAAAUUUCCAACCUCUGUCAAGCAACACAAAUAAAAGGCUCCACAUA